AUUGAACGCUGGCGGCAGGCUUAACACAUGCAAGUCGAACGAGUGGCGGACGGGUGAGUAAUGCUUGGGAAUCUAGCUUAUGGAGGGGGAUAACUACGGGAAACUGUAGCUAAUACCGCGUACCAUAGGAUGAGCCCACGUGGGCUGUGGUAGUUGGGGAGGUAAAGGCUACCCAAGCCGACGAGCUCUAUCUGGUCUGAGAGGAUGACCAUGCACACUGUGACUGAUAAACGGCCCAGACUCCUACGGGAGGCAGCAGUGGGGAAUAUUGCACAAUGGGCGCAAGCCUGAUGCAGCCAUGCCGCGUGUAUGAAGAAGGCCUUAGGGUUGUAAAGUACUUUCAGCGGGGAGGCGUUACCCGCAGAAGAAGCACCGGCUAACUCCGUGCCAGCCGCCGCGGUAAUAC
RNAcentral lists this ribosomal RNA (406 nucleotides) under uncultured bacterium. Its description in RNAcentral is "partial 16S ribosomal RNA". It matches the Rfam family "Bacterial small subunit ribosomal RNA", at positions 30 to 526 of the family's 1533-position model. The record is from RNAcentral.